This 432-nucleotide long non-coding RNA is filed under the name Mytilus galloprovincialis (Mediterranean mussel). The record is from RNAcentral. Lineage: Eukaryota; Metazoa; Mollusca; Bivalvia; Mytilida; Mytilidae.
UCAACUAUAUAUGUUGUAUAGACGCAUUGUUAGCUGUACAUGUCUGCCUGGCAUGGUUCAUCUGACCGUGACCUGAUUUUCAAGGUUCAUUGGUCUUUGUUUAGUUAUCUUGGUUAAUGUUAAGUUUAUGUGACAGUUGUAAUAAAGCUUAGCUUUAUACUUAGGACUAUCAACAUAAUAUUAAUGAUUAGUAUAGAAGGCGAGACAUUUCAGCGUGUGCACUCUUGUUCAGCUACAUGUGUCGUCAACUGGAAUCUGUCAAAAUUAUGACCAAAAAAAAAAAAAGAAAUGGUUCGGAACUAAAAUUCUACUUAAUUUUCAAAAAUUAAGAGCUUAUAAAUCAAAGAGUCGCACUCAUAAAAUGAAAACAACACCUUAUUUCGUGCGUCUUUUCUGGAUAUGCCUUAGUAGACUUUUUGUAAUUAAAAAAAU